GCGGGACAGCGCGAGAGGACGCGAGUGCGCUACUUCCUAAGCACCGGGUCAGCUCAGUCCUUGAGCGCCGUCGCGUUCCGUCCCCUGCGUCUGUCCAGAGGCAGACACUCGAGUCUGCACGGGGAAAGGAGCAGGACCCCCCAGCGCCUUCUGGAAGCCCAGGCUCGAGCCCGCCAAGUACAGGACCGGAAGAGACGGAGGCGCGGCGCUGCAGGCCACGCCCUCCCCGUCUGCCUACUUCCUGCUUCCGGCGUCUCUCUGGUCUCUCCAGGGCGACGCGGGCUCCAGCUCGGCUGAGCGCACGGUUUCACGUUUUCUCCUCGGACACCCGGGUGCAGACCUCGGGGAGGAGCUGGCUGAAGCCCCGUCCGCCCCCACAUCUCUCUCUGGUUCUCUCUCUCUGCGCCUCCAUCUUCUUUAUAUUUCACCAUUUCUGUCUUGCAAUUUCUUUCUCAUCUGCAUUAUAACAUCGGGAAGGAUCUAUAUUCCCUGAAUUUCUGUAAAAAGAGAACAGAUUCCAAGUUGAGUAGAGCAUGAAAAAAAAAAGCCUGAUUGCCCAGAAGUCACUAAAUCUGUAAUAUUUCCAUUUACUAUUAAAAAAAAAAAAACCCUCCUCUCUACAGCUCCCUGGUGUGAUUCGCACUAUAUGUAGAAAACAUCAACAUCAGAUGUUUUAUUUUGCCUGUGACAUAUUUUAACGUAUUUCAUAUGUUGGUAUUUUUCUCCAACAUAAAAAUGUUUCAAAUUCUAGUACCUGAGAACUGGUCACAGGCUCAGUUGAAUUUUAUUAUCUGGCUCAGAACAUUUUGUCUCUCUACUCUGAAUCAUAAUGUGACCUUACCACUUAACCUGCUGUUACUGGAAUGAAAUAUAAAUACCUGUUGGAGCUAUGGCUGUGUCUACACACAUGCAAAAGAAAUUGAACAUCAUUGAACCUGGUAUAAUUUUCUUGGCAUAAUUCACCUCAGCAGGUCCUCCAAUUUCUGUCAGGAGAAAGAAAACUGAAAAUCCUGCAGUUCUAAAGAGAAUACUGUAUAUAUUGCAGAGAACUGGUCCAUUGAAAAUUCGGGAUUAGAUCAAAAUUUACAGCCCCAGCAGGAAGGGCUUUACGCUCUUUGAUAGAAACUGACCUCUCCUUGCCUCUCCCUCUGUGUGUCCUCCCCACAAGGGCAACCCAAAUCUAGACGCCCCCAUUACUGUCCCCUUAAGGUAACAACACACUGAAUUUCUUUUAUCUUUCAGCUUUUAAACUGAAAUAACUAGAAGUUGAUUGUCUACAUAUAUAAUAUACUUGAUUGCUAUUUCUACUUCUUUCCUUGUCAAAAUUAUAAAUUUUGUGGCAAUAAUGGCUAUUUAUUCCUUUAGAGCAUAUAACAGGACUAGGCACACAUCAGGGUUAUAAGAAAAGUUUCUCCUUUCAUUUGAUAUGAACAAUUCUAAAUUCAAUUAAGACUACCCCUCCAAAUUCUUAAUUACACAAAACAUCUGUGGCUCAUUUAAAAAACAAACAAAUAAAAAAAAACAGGCUUGGGAACAUGAUCGUAUCAGCAGGAUCAAUAGCCAUAGAGGGACUGGAAAUAAUGUAGAACUAAAAAUUUCUCAUAAAAUAUUCUUCUUUAAUCGUUUCAAUUGUUGUAUUCUCUACUUGUUUGUAGAAAUAAAACCUGGAUAACAACACUAUAUUUCAAAGGUAGUAUUUUAUUAAUUUUCAAAACUGAUUCUGGCUAUGCCACUUUUUACCAUCGUUCUUCAUCUCUUGGAGAGAAUUGGUAAGGGCACUAGCUAGAAGUUUUGCAAUGGUAAGUUUCUGCAACAACAACAAAAUAUAUAUUCUGAUUUUUGAUCUAGAGAAUAGUCAGUGUUCUCUCUGGCAAAAAAUUAGAUAUAAGAAACCAUGAAAUUUUAAUCACAGAAAUUACUCUCUUAGCUAGAUGGUCAGCACUAUCACAGGGAAUAGAGGUUGGGUAAAACUGGAAAUCAAAGGUAACAAUAAUGCAGUAAAGGGAAUGGAGAGCGUGGAAUAGCCCUGGUGCCUGGUUAAUCUUGGGUCCGAUCCCUGUGGACUGUGUUGGAAAUGCUGUGAGUGUAAGUGAAGAUAGAACGCUGUUGCCAUGGACUGAGGAGUGAGUCUCCUGUGAGCAGCGGGGAGGCAAGAGGGUAAGAUGACUGUGGAGUAGUAAACCAGGACAACUGUAAUCGAAAUGCAGAUGCCUAAAAAGGCAAGGCUCUCCUUCUAAAUGGGAC
RNAcentral lists this long non-coding RNA (2244 nucleotides) under Dasypus novemcinctus (nine-banded armadillo). RNAcentral's name for it is "lncRNA (ENSDNOG00000049898.1)". Lineage: Eukaryota; Metazoa; Chordata; Mammalia; Cingulata; Dasypodidae. The record is from RNAcentral.